RNAcentral lists this ribosomal RNA (500 nucleotides) under uncultured bacterium. RNAcentral describes it as "partial 16S ribosomal RNA". It matches the Rfam family "Bacterial small subunit ribosomal RNA", at positions 29 to 523 of the family's 1533-position model. The record is from RNAcentral.
AUUGAACGCUGGCGGCAUGCCUUACACAUGCAAGUCGAACGGCAGCACGGGAGCAAUCCUGGUGGCGAGUGGCGAACGGGUGAGUAAUAUAUCGGAACGUGCCCAGUCGUGGGGGAUAACGUAGCGAAAGCUACGCUAAUACCGCAUACGAUCGAUGGAUGAAAGCGGGGGAUCGCAAAACCUCGCGCGACUGGAGCGGUCGAUGUCGGAUUAGGUAGGUGGUGAGGUAAAGGAUCACCAAGCCGACGAUCUGUAGCUGGUCUGAGAGGACGACCAGCCACACUGGGACUGAGACACGGCCCAGACUCCUACGGGAGGCAGCAGUGGGGAAUUUUGGACAAUGGGCGCAAGCCUGAUCCAGCAAUGCCGCGCGCAGGAUGAAGGCCUUCGGGUUGUAAACUGCUUUUGUACGGAACGAAACGGCGAGCUCAAAUACAGUUUGCUAAUGACGGUACCGUAAGAAUAAGCACCGGCUAACUACGUGCCAGCAGCCGCAGUAA